AAGGAAUCAUGUAUAUUCUCUUGGUCCUUCCCUGCUUCCUGCUGGCUGGAAGAUAAUAACUGAAACUGCAGCCUUCUACUGCAAGAUAGAAACCAUGAGUUGUAGACUGCAGAACUUCCCAUAUAGUCUUGGACUAUGGAUUAUAAUGAGGCAGAAGAAUGAAUUUUCAUCUUAUUUAAAUCAUUGUAUCUUUUGAUCUAUUUAUUAUUGCUGUUUAGCCUAUAUCUUAACUAGGAAAACUACCAAAGAGGGUGUAUUAGUUUGCUCAGGUUGCUGUAACAAAAUACCAUAGAUUGGAUGGUUUAAACAGAGAAAUUUAUUGUCUUGCAAUGCUGGAGGCUGCAAGUCUGGGAUCAGGAUGCCAACAUGGUUGGAUUCUGGUAUGGGCUCUCUUUUUGGCUUAUAGACAGCCACUGUCUUGCUGUGUCCUUACAUCAUGACUGGGAUACAGAGAGAGAGAGAGAGAGAGAGCGCAAGAACAAGACAGCACUCUGGCCUCUUCUUAUAAGGGCACUGAUUCCAUCAUAAGGGCCCCACCCUCAUGACCUCAUCUAACCCUAAUCAUCUCCCAAAGCCCCCAUCUCCAAACAUCAUCACACUGGGGGCUAAGCCUUCAAUAUAUGAAUGUUUGGGGGACACAACUCAGUUCAUAGUAGAGGGCAAGGGGAGGAUCCAGUUUAAAUGGGAGUAAAGGGACAGGAAUCUCCCAUGAGGAAGUAUCUUUGAAGCUGAAUGAAGAAGCGUGCUCCAGAUAGAAGGAAUAGUGUGUAUAAAACCCUUGAAGGGGGAAGGAACUUGAUAUUUUCAAAGAAGUAUGAGGGAAAGCAGAAUGUCCUUACGGCUAACUUACGCAAAGCCUGUAUGUCUCAGCUCAAGUGGGACCUGUGAAAUAGUUCCCUGACCUCCUCUAAAUGUCGAGAACUGUGUUAUUUUACCCCACUUUUGAGCUAACACUUAAGCCUGCCACUGAUUCACGGAUGCUGAUAGAAGACACAACACUCCUGGAAGCAGCAGUGCCGCAGCAGCGUUGCGGGGCAGCAGGACUCAGUGGCCUGCAACUCUUAAAGGCGAGGAGAGACCACACUAACCAGAGAGCUGGCAGCCACACAGCAGUGUCAAGGAAGGCGAUGACAACCAACCAUCGUAUCAGGGAUGAAACAGGGCCUGGCAGGCAGCUGCAACACCGAGUAGCGGAUAGGAAGACUAUAGAUCAUGCAGCAUCUGCUUAGGAGUUUUCUGGUCACAAAAAUGCGAAGAGGAAGAGGAAGCAGCCUGUGGGAAGGAACAGAGAGGGAUUAUACACUGGGGGAACCCAAGUCAAUAAAUAAAUAAAUCAAUAAAUAAUAUGUAAGUGAAUGAAUGCACAAAUGCAUAAAUACACAUU
Long non-coding RNA from Pan troglodytes (chimpanzee), 1384 nucleotides. RefSeq lists it as uncharacterized. The record is from RefSeq and is a predicted model, not a curated record. NCBI's taxonomy places the organism in Eukaryota, Metazoa, Chordata, Mammalia, Primates, Hominidae. The transcript has 3 exons.